ACGGAGGAUUCGAGCGUUAUCCGGAUUUAUUGGGUUUAAAGGGUGCGUAGGCUGGUUUUUAAGUCAGCUGUGAAAUACCGAUGCUUACCGUCGGCACUGCAGUUGAAACUGGUAACCUUGAGAGUACAAGAGGCAUGCGGAAUUCACGGUGUAGAGGUGACAUGCAUAGAUAUCGUGAAGAACACCGAUUGCGAAGGCAGCUUGCUAGGAUAUAUCUGACGCUGAGUCACGAAAGUGAGGGUAUCGAACAG
This 251-nucleotide ribosomal RNA is filed under the name uncultured prokaryote. RNAcentral's name for it is "partial 16S rRNA". It matches the Rfam family "Bacterial small subunit ribosomal RNA", at positions 525 to 775 of the family's 1533-position model. The record is from RNAcentral.